CCUACGGGUGGCAGCAGUGAGGAAUAUUGGUCAAUGGCCGGAAGGCUGAACCAGCCAAGCCGCGUGAAGGACGAAGGUGCCAAGCAUUGUAAACUUCUUUUGUCAAGGGACAAAAUCAGGCUCGAGAGCCUGACCGAGGGUACUUGAAGAAAAAGCAUCGGCUACCUCCGUGCCAGCAGCCGCGGUAAUACGGGGGGUGCGAGCGUUAUCCGGCUUUGUUGGGUUUAAAGGGUGCGUAGGGGGACUGUUAAGUCAGCGGUAAAAGCCCGGGGCUCAACCCCGGCGAGCUGUUGAAACUGGCUGGCUUGAGUGGUCGAGGGGUAGGCGGAAGGCGCAGUGUAGCGGUGAAAUGCUUAGAUAUUGCGCAGAACUCCGAUGGCGAAGGCAGCAUACCGGCGGCGAUCUGACGCUGAGGCACGAAAGCGUGGGUAUCGAACAGGAUUAGAUACCCUUGUAGUC
This 459-nucleotide ribosomal RNA is filed under the name uncultured bacterium. Its description in RNAcentral is "partial 16S ribosomal RNA". It matches the Rfam family "Bacterial small subunit ribosomal RNA", at positions 338 to 795 of the family's 1533-position model. The record is from RNAcentral.